UAACUUUGCGCCCGAAAUUAUAUAAGUACAUAAUAAUCAUUUAAAUAAUAUUGGAAUG
Molecule: non-coding RNA, 58 nt
Filed under: unclassified sequences
Description: S15-Flavobacteria ribosomal protein leader
Rfam family: S15-Flavobacteria ribosomal protein leader
Source: RNAcentral